AUGGACGCUUGCUCUCCGGCCCUCGUCGUCGUCGGGGCGCUGCUCCUCCUCCUGGGGGCCUCGGCGCCGACGGCGUCCGCGGCGCGCGCCUUCUUCGUCUUUGGCGACUCCCUCGUCGACAACGGCAACAACAACUACCUCAUGACGACGGCGCGCGCCGACGCGCCGCCCUACGGCAUCGACUUCCCCACGCACAUGCCCACGGGGAGGUUCUCCAACGGGCUCAACAUCCCCGACAUCAUCAGCGAGUACCUCGGGGCAGAGCCCGCGCUGCCCUACCUGAGCCCCUACAUGCGAGGCGAGAACCUGCUCGUCGGCGCCAACUUCGCGUCCGCCGGCGUCGGCAUCCUCAACGACACAGGCGUGCAAUUCGUGAACAUCAUCAGGAUCGCGCAGCAGCUGCAGAACUUCCAGGCCUACCAGCGGAGGCUGGCGGCGUACAUCGGUGAGGACGCGGCGAGGGAGCGCGUGAGCCAGUCGCUGGUGCUCAUCACGCUCGGCGGCAACGACUUCGUCAACAACUACUACCUGGUGCCCUUCUCCGCCAGGUCCCAGCAGUUCGAGAUCCACGACUACGUCCCCUUCAUCAUCUCCGAGUACAAGAAAGUCCUCGCGCGGCUGUACGAGCUGGGCGCCCGGCGCGUGAUCGUGACGGGGACGGGGAUGAUCGGGUGCGUGCCGGCGGAGCUGGCCCUCCACAGCCUCGACGGGUCCUGCGCGCCGGACCUCACGCGCGCCGCCGACCUCUUCAACCCGCAGCUGGAGCGGAUGCUGACGGAGCUCAACGGCGAGGUCGGCCACGACGACGUCUUCAUCGCCGCCAACACCAACAGGGUCAGCUUCGACUUCAUGUUCAACCCGCAGCAGUACGGGUUCGCGACGGCCAAGAUCGCGUGCUGCGGGCAGGGCCCGUACAACGGGAUCGGGCUGUGCACGCCGGCGUCCAACGUGUGCGCCAACAGGGACGUGUACGCCUACUGGGACGCCUUCCACCCCACGGAGCGGGCCAACCGGAUCAUCGUCGCCAACUUCAUGCACGGCACCACCGACCACAUCAGCCCCAUGAACCUCAGCACCAUCCUCGCCAUGGACAACACCAGGAACUAG
Molecule: ribosomal RNA, 1107 nt
Filed under: Triticum aestivum (bread wheat)
Lineage: Eukaryota; Viridiplantae; Streptophyta; Magnoliopsida; Poales; Poaceae
Description: partial small subunit ribosomal RNA
Source: RNAcentral